GAUGAAGAACGCAGCGAAAUGCGAUAAGUAAUGUGAAUUGCAGAAUUCAGUGAAUCAUCGAAUCUUUGAACGCACCUUGCGCCUUUUGGUAUUCCGAAAGGCACACCUGUUUGAGCGUCAUGAAUACCUCAAUCUCCAUCUUUUCUUCGGAUUGAAGGGUGACUUGGAUGUUGAGCCCUGCUGGUAUGCUAUAUCAGCUGGCUUUAAACUUAUUAGCCGGCUCUGUACUGGAUCGGUUUGACUCGACGUGAUAAUAUUAUCGUUGAGGAUGCAUGUCUCAUGCAGCCGGAAAGUAUCAGAGCAGCUUCUAGCUUGCCUUUAGUGCACUUUUACAUUUUAGACCUCAGAUCAGGUGGGACUACCCGCUGAACUUAAGCAUAUCAAUAAGCGGAGGA
Molecule: unclassified non-coding RNA, 395 nt
Filed under: soil metagenome
Description: partial contains 5.8S ribosomal RNA, internal transcribed spacer 2, and large subunit ribosomal RNA
Rfam family: 5.8S ribosomal RNA (bases 1-120)
Source: RNAcentral